AAAAAUAAUAUAAAAAUAAAUAUAAUAAUACAGUCUUGAUUAGGCUCGCGAGUCUCACAAACCGAGUAAUAUGAACUGCGAACUUGACUCUAUAAACUAUUCAAAUAGCUUGAGUUCGAGUUCGGCUCGAUUAUUUUCGAUCCGAAUUCAAAUAUUUUACGAGCUGAGCUCGAGCAACUCACGAACCGUUUAGCUGAUCAACGCCCCUACUCUCACCCAUCUCUCUAAAUCUCUCUCUCGCCUACCCUGCUUCUCCUCUCCAUCUUUUUUUAAACCCACAGCUGAGCCGCUGCGGCUAUCACUAGCCAGUAGCCACCUCCCUUCACUUAGCUCUAUCCUUCUUUGUAUCCUUCACGGACCCAUAUAACUCUGGCCGAAAAUUAUCCAGCCUUCUUCAAACAACCACAUGUCCGUCGCCCUCCUUAUUCCUCCGGCCAUCAACANCCCAUUUCUAAAACAAUCUUUCACAGUAAGCAUAUAUACAUAGGCACACAUAUAGGCCAACAUUCAAGAGAGGGACUUCUUAUAUGGAGUUACAUAGUGCGCC
This 547-nucleotide long non-coding RNA is filed under the name Daucus carota (carrot). RNAcentral's name for it is "long non-coding RNA (DCAR_LNC006032)". The record is from RNAcentral. Lineage: Eukaryota; Viridiplantae; Streptophyta; Magnoliopsida; Apiales; Apiaceae.